Long non-coding RNA from Malaya genurostris, 550 nucleotides. RefSeq lists it as uncharacterized. The record is from RefSeq and is a predicted model, not a curated record. The transcript is spliced from 2 exons. NCBI's taxonomy places the organism in Eukaryota, Metazoa, Arthropoda, Insecta, Diptera, Culicidae.
GUAGCUUGGAAUAUGUUUAUAUGAAAAAGGACAUUAAAUUGAAAAUUUACUUUGCAUGACUCUGUCGUGUGUACUUUUAUCAAUGUAGAUAUGUGGAAUAGAAAAUCAAAUUUCAUUAAAUAAAGUUUAUAUAAAAUUCCGUCGUUGUAUAUUCUAGUGAACUACUAAGAUAUGAAGAAUGUAUAUUGAAUGAAACUGUCAUUUUAUAACCAUAAUCUUUUGGGAUAUCUUCUAACAUUAUUUCAUUGCAAGAAUUAAAUUUAUUUAGUGAAUCUAAAUAAAGAUUUUUUUAUACAGGGCAACAAAGAUUUUCUAUGAAAAUAUCUGGCAUCUCUGCGUUUCACCAUAACACCUUGUUUAGCUGUCAAACGUUCACCGAGUUUCAGAAGAUACUGAAGUUGCUUCGCCUUAGAUUCGCCAAGUUCUCCUUAUUCUGCAAUUUGUUGUAAUCAUGAGGAUUCCAUUGGGCAGGAAGCAAGCUGAACAGGCUUCCCUGUGGCUCUCGUCAGCGAUGGGAUUCGGUGCUACUGCUUCUCUCUUCGGACUCUAC